Molecule: ribosomal RNA, 505 nt
Filed under: uncultured bacterium
Lineage: Bacteria
Description: partial 16S ribosomal RNA
Rfam family: Bacterial small subunit ribosomal RNA
Source: RNAcentral
GAUGAACGCUAGCGGCAGGCCUAACACAUGCAAGUCGAGGGGCAGCACAGGAAAGUAGUAAUACUUUUGGGUGGCGACCGGCGAACGGGUGCGUAACGCGUAUACAACCUGCCUUCUACUGGGGGAUAAUUCGGAGAAAUCUGGUCUAAUACCCCAUAACAACCGAUGAGGCAUCUCAUUGGUUUAAAAGCUCCGGCGGUAGAAGAUGGGUAUGCGUGACAUUAGAUAGUUGGUGGGGAACGGCUCACCAAGUCGACGAUGUCUAGGGGGACUGAGAGGUUAACCCCCCACACUGGUACUGAGACACGGACCAGACUCCUACGGGAGGCAGCAGUGAGGAAUAUUGGUCAAUGGACGCAAGUCUGAACCAGCCAUGCCGCGUGCAGGAAGACGGCUCUAUGAGUUGUAAACUGCUUUUGUACGAGGGUAAACCCAGGGACGUGUCCUUGGUCGAAAGUACCGUACGAAUAAGGAUCGGCUAACUCCGUGCCAGCAGCCGCAGUAA